This 253-nucleotide ribosomal RNA is filed under the name uncultured bacterium. RNAcentral's name for it is "partial 16S ribosomal RNA". It matches the Rfam family "Bacterial small subunit ribosomal RNA", at positions 524 to 776 of the family's 1533-position model. The record is from RNAcentral.
UACGUAGGGUGCGAGCGUUCAUCGGAAUUACUGGGCGUAAAGAGUGCGUAGGCGGUUCUUGAAGUCCGCUGUGAAAGCCCCGGGCUUAACCUGGGAAUGGCAGUGGAAACUGGAGGACUUGAAUUGAGCAGAGGGGGGUGGAAUGCCGCGUGUAGCAGUGAAAUGCGUAGAGAUGCGGCGGAACACCGAUGGCGAAGGCAGCCCCCUGGGCUUAAAUUGACGCUGAGGCACGAAAGCGUGGGGAGCAAACAGG